Molecule: ribosomal RNA, 459 nt
Filed under: uncultured bacterium
Lineage: Bacteria
Description: SSU rRNA
Rfam family: Bacterial small subunit ribosomal RNA
Source: RNAcentral
AGAAUCAACGCUGGCGGCGUGCCUAACACAUGCAAGUCGAACGAGAAAGUGGAGCAAUCCAUGAGUAAAGUGGCGCACGGGUGAGUAACACGUGACUAACCUACCCUUGAGUGGGGGAUAACCUAGGGAAACCUGGGCUAAUACCGCAUAAUACCUUCGGGUCAAAGGAGCAAUUCGCUUAAGGAGGGGGUCGCGGCCGAUUAGUUAGUUGGCGGGGUAAUGGCCCACCAAGACUGUGAUCGGUAUCCGGCCUGAGAGGGCGCACGGACACACUGGAACUGAAACACGGUCCAGACUCCUACGGGAGGCAGCAGUGGGGAAUUUGCGCAAUGGGGGGAAACCCUGACGCAGCAACGCCGCGUGGAGGAUGAAGUCCCUUGGGACGUAAACUCCUUUCGAUCGGGACGAUUAUGACGGUACCGGAGAAGAAGCCCCGGCUAACUUCGCGCCAGCAGCCGC